Molecule: long non-coding RNA, 3082 nt
Organism: Herpailurus yagouaroundi (jaguarundi)
Lineage: Eukaryota; Metazoa; Chordata; Mammalia; Carnivora; Felidae
Exons: 2
Source: RefSeq, a predicted model, not a curated record
CGACCCAGUGAAGGGAAAACAGCAAUGCUGCGCUGAGCCUCGCUCUCCCCGUCCUGGGCUGGAGAGUGAGCCUCUGCCGGCUAGGCGGCAGCUCCCAGGCCGGUGCCUGUCCUUCAGAGGGGUGCGCUGGUGGCAAAGGAGUCUAAGGGUAUCUUCUCGGCCAUUUUAUUUCCUGACAGAAAUGAAAAAGAGCCUAAGGAGUACCGUCUGCGGAGAGGCCAGCUUGGAAGAACCUGUUUGCAGCAAAGGCGGAUGGCGGUCAGAAGACGGCCUCGUGGGGUCUCUGCCAGGCCUGUUUGGAGGACCGGGCGGCUGAGGGACUGGAGUGCAGGGCUGCCGGAUCCGUGUCUGCCGGAUCGGUCUGGCCUCUCCAAGCGCGGUUCGGCCUCGCGAAGCUGUGCAACAGGUCUGGUCCCAUUUCAUCUGGCUUUCUCCUCCCGUGGAAUGAUAAGCUCUUCAAACAGACAUUCCUUCCUUGUGCCCGGUAAGGCUUAGUGGAAGCACAAAGCAAGAAGAGGUGUGGGUAAAGACAGAGAAAACUAAGUGGACAGGGAGAGAUUGGAGGCCUGCACAGCAUGACCGGGACCGCAUUUUGGGCAGGUGUGAGAUAACACACAUACAAAUGUAACACUCAUUCAUCUAAAGGUAUUUGAGGGCCAUUUUGUGUCAAGUCACAGUAAAUAAAUAUAAGCAAAUGAAAAGUUGCGCCUUCACCCUCUCGUGGAGCAUAUAUGAAAGAAUCACAGAAGUCAUGUAAAGGUGAGAGCUGUAGAAAUGCCAAAGAGUGUUACCUCAUCCUAUGAGAGCAUUAAAUAGUAGCAUUUGAUCAAAUUAGGGAAAUCAGAGAAGGCUUCCCUGAGGAAGUGAUACUUGAGACCUGAAGGUUGACUAGGAGUUCACCUGUUGAAUUGGAAAAGGAGGAGCAUCUCAGUUGGGCAGGGCAGCCUGGGGCCCGAGAACAUAUCUAUAAUAGACAGAAACAGCAAAGGGUUACAAUGAAGAGUAUGUAAAGGACUGUUACAGAUCGACUAGAAGAGCACAAAGCAAUCUCCUGAAAAUAGGCAAAAGACACACAAAAAUAAUGGAAGGAAACAUAUGUGGCUGAUAAACACAUAUAGAGAUGUUCAGUCUAAUUAGUGAUCAGGGAACUGCCGAUACCAUUUUACAGCAUUGACUGGCAAUGAGGCUGACAACUUACAUGUAGAAUUAAAAAAAAAAAAUGACCUAAAAAACCAAGCUCAUAGCUACAGAGGACAGAUUGGUGGUUGCUUGGGAGUGAAAAGGAGUCACAGGUUACAGACUUCCAGUUAUAAAAUCAGUAAGUCCAGGGGAUAGGAUGUACAGGUGACUACAAUUAAUAAUACUGUAUUGCAUACUUGAAAGUUGCUAAGAGAGUAGACCCUAAAAGAUCUCAUCACAAGAAAGAAAAUUCUGUAACUGUGUGUGGGGACAAAUGUCAACUACACUUACUGUGGUGGUCAUUUCACCAUAUAUACAAAUAUUGAAUCAUUAUGUUGUACACUCGAAACUACUCUAAUGCUAUAAGUCAAGUAUACCUCAAUAAAAAAAAUAAACAGCUGACCAUACCAAGUGUUGCAGAGCAUAUGGAACCAUGGGGUCUUUUACACAUGUCUGGUGGGGGUGUGAACCAGGGCAACCACUUUGGCAGUCAGCUUCCAAGUGCUUCCUAAAGCCAAACAUAAAACCAACCCAUACAUCCAUCAAUGCACACCAAGAAAUGUACCAAGGGGCGCGUGUAAGAAUGUUCAUGGCAGUACUGUUUAAUCAAAAACCAAGCAAACCAGGAAACGAUGUGAUUGGUGAUCAACAGAAGAGUGGGUAAGUAAACUACAGUAUGUCCACACAAUGGCAUAUUGAACAUUAAACAGAUGGACAACCAUAACAUGCAACAAUAUGGAUAAACUCUAGUAAUGUAAUAUUAAAUAGAAAACAAGUCUCCAAAUAAUAUAAAGUCAAAACAGCUAGAAUUACUUCUAGAAAUAUGUGCUGUAUUUUACACACACACACACACACACACACACACACACACACACACUCUAGAAACAGUAAGACAAGGGAAUGGUAAACACAAGAUUCAGGAUGAUGGCUGGUAACCAGGAUGAUGAGAUGUGAGGUCACCAGAUGGUUUGCUGUAGAUUGUUUGCUUUUGUUUUGGUCAGUGGGAUUAUGAGUGCUCAUGACAUUGCAAAAAAAUUACUUAUCAACCUAAAGAAAUAAAUAAGUAAAUAAGCCAUCCUAUAUCUGAGCAAUGAAGACAGUGAGUCAUUAAGUGAAGAUUAUGAUUGAUACAAUUCUGCUUCUCUGAGAUGAGAAAAAAAAAGUCAUGUACUUGGGGGAGGGGAUGAGAAAAAGCCACAUGCCUGAGAGAGGAGUGUGUGAGGUAAGGGAUGGGGCUCAGGUGAGAGGUAGGGGAGAGAGCUAUGUAGGAUCUUAUAGGGCCUGUUAAUGACUUGGAUUUAAUGGGGUAGUAUGAUGACAUGGUCUUUAUAUUUCAAAGGUCUCAUUCUGGCUGCAUCGUGGGUAUUUUAUUAGUGGUGGUCAGAGAGAAUAUGGGGAAGGCUGGUUGGGAGGCUGUAUCUACUGUAGGUAAGAGGUGAUGGUAGCAUGGAUUAAGGUGAGAUAAUGAGAGAAGCAGGUGAACUUAAAUAACAGUAAGUAAAAACUGAUAAUUUUAGAUAGAAUAUGGGGCAUGAGAGUCAAUGAUGAUGCCUCCAUUUUAUUUGUGAAGGAGGUGGAUGGUGGGCUAUUUACUGAGAAGAAAGUGAGUUUAGUUUUGACUAUGUUGGAUUCGGAUGCUUUUGAGAUAUGCCAGUGGGCAGCUGGAUACUGGGCUCCAUAACUUCCAUGGGACCUGAGUUAGCUGAGGAUGUACAAGGGAGUCAUGGAUAUGUGGGUGGGGAUUAAAAUUGUGGAAGUUGAUAAGAUUACCUAGAAAGAAACAGUGUAGUGAGAAGAAAGCUGUUGUAAAAACAAAAUUUAAGUAGACAAUUAAAUUAAAACAGGCCACACAUAUCCUAUGAUGAACGUGUAUCAUGAAUCAAAGAUUAUGAUUAAUCUAGUU